This 1381-nucleotide ribosomal RNA is filed under the name uncultured bacterium. RNAcentral describes it as "bacterial SSU rRNA". It matches the Rfam family "Bacterial small subunit ribosomal RNA", at positions 18 to 1394 of the family's 1533-position model. The record is from RNAcentral.
CCUGGCUCAAGAUGAACGCUAGCUCAGGCUUAACACAUGCGAGUCGAGGGGCAGCAUUUUAGUUUGCUUGCAAACUAAAGAUGGCGACCGGCGCACGGGUGAGUAACACGUAUCCAACCUGCCGAUAACUCGGGGAUAGCCUUUCGAAAGAAAGAUUAAUAUCCGAUAGUAUAUUAAAACCGCAUGGUUUUACUAUUAAAGAAUUUCGGUUAUCGAUGGGGAUGCGUUCCAUUAGUUUGUUGGCGGGGUAACGGCCCACCAAGACUACGAUGGAUAGGGGUUCUGAGAGGAAGGUCCCCCACAUUGGAACUGAGACACGGUCCAAACUCCUACGGGAGGCAGCAGUGAGGAAUAUUGGUCAAUGGACGAGAGUCUGAACCAGCCAAGUAGCGUGAAGGAUGACUGCCCUAUGGGUUGUAAACUUCUUUUAUAUGGGAAUAAAGUAUUCCACGUGUGGGAUUUUGUAUGUACCAUAUGAAUAAGGAUCGGCUAACUCCGUGCCAGCAGCCGCGGUAAUACGGAGGAUCCGAGCGUUAUCCGGAUUUAUUGGGUUUAAAGGGAGCGUAGGUGGAUUGUUAAGUCAGUUGUGAAAGUUUGCGGCUCAACCGUAAAAUUGCAGUUGAAACUGGCAGUCUUGAGUACAGUAGAGGUGGGCGGAAUUCGUGGUGUAGCGGUGAAAUGCUUAGAUAUCACGAAGAACUCCGAUUGCGAAGGCAGCUCACUAGACUGCAACUGACACUGAUGCUCGAAAGUGUGGGUAUCAAACAGGAUUAGAUACCCUGGUAGUCCACACAGUAAACGAUGAAUACUCGCUGUUUGCGAUAUACAGUAAGCGGCCAAGCGAAAGCAUUAAGUAUUCCACCUGGGGAGUACGCCGGCAACGGUGAAACUCAAAGGAAUUGACGGGGGCCCGCACAAGCGGAGGAACAUGUGGUUUAAUUCGAUGAUACGCGAGGAACCUUACCCGGGCUUAAAUUGCAACAGAAUAUAUUGGAAACAGUAUAGCCGUAAGGCUGUUGUGAAGGUGCUGCAUGGUUGUCGUCAGCUCGUGCCGUGAGGUGUCGGCUUAAGUGCCAUAACGAGCGCAACCCUUAUCUUUAGUUACUAACAGGUGAUGCUGAGGACUCUAGAGAGACUGCCGUCGUAAGAUGUGAGGAAGGUGGGGAUGACGUCAAAUCAGCACGGCCCUUACGUCCGGGGCUACACACGUGUUACAAUGGGGGGUACAGAAGGCAGCUACCUGGCGACAGGAUGCUAAUCCCAAAAACCUCUCUCAGUUCGGAUCGAAGUCUGCAACCCGACUUCGUGAAGCUGGAUUCGCUAGUAAUCGCGCAUCAGCCAUGGCGCGGUGAAUACGUUCCCGGGCCUUGUACACACCGCC